AGUGAACGCUGGCGGUAGGCCUAACACAUGCAAGUCGAACGGCAGCACAGUAAGAGCUUGCUCUUACGGGUGGCGAGUGGCGGACGGGUGAGGAAUACAUCGGAAUCUACUUUUUCGUGGGGGACAACGUAGGGAAACUUACGCUAAUACCGCAUACGACCUACGGGUGAAAGCAGGGGAUCUUCGGACCUUGCGCGAUUGAAUGAGCCGAUGUCGGAUUAGCUAGUUGGCGGGGUAAAGGCCCACCAAGGCGACGAUCCGUAGCUGGUCUGAGAGGAUGAUCAGCCACACUGGAACUGAGACACGGUCCAGACUCCUACGGGAGGCAGCAGUGGGGAAUAUUGGACAAUGGGCGCAAGCCUGAUCCAGCCAUACCGCGUGGGUGAAGAAGGCCUUCGGGUUGUAAAGCCCUUUUGUUGGGAAAGAAAAGCAGCAGGUUAAUACCCCGCUGUUCCGACGGUACCCAAAGAAUAAGCACCGGCUAACUUCGUG
Molecule: ribosomal RNA, 492 nt
Filed under: uncultured bacterium
Lineage: Bacteria
Description: partial 16S ribosomal RNA
Rfam family: Bacterial small subunit ribosomal RNA
Source: RNAcentral